This 440-nucleotide ribosomal RNA is filed under the name uncultured bacterium. Its description in RNAcentral is "partial 16S ribosomal RNA". It matches the Rfam family "Bacterial small subunit ribosomal RNA", at positions 338 to 795 of the family's 1533-position model. The record is from RNAcentral.
CCUACGGGGGGCAGCAGUGGGGAAUAUUGCACAAUGGGGGGAACCUUGAUGCAGCAACGCCGCGUGGGUGAAGAAGUACUCCGGUAUGUAAAGCCCUGUCAGCAGGGAAGAAAAUGACGGUACCUGACCAAGAAGCCCCGGCUAACUACGUGCCAGCAGCCGCGGUAAUACGUAGGGGGCAAGCGUUAUCCGGAUUUACUGGGUGUAAAGGGAGCGUAGACGGCAAGGCAAGUCUGGAGUGAAAGCCCGUGGCCCAACCACGGGACUGCUUUGGAAACUGUGUUGCUGGAGUGCAGGAGGGGUAAGCGGAAUUCCUAGUGUAGCGGUGAAAUGCGUAGAUAUUAGGAGGAACACCGGUGGCGAAGGCGGCAUGCCGGCUUCCUACUGACGCUGAAGCACGAAAGCGUGGGGAUCGAACAGGAUUAGAUACCCCGGUAGUC